Molecule: long non-coding RNA, 277 nt
Organism: Lineus longissimus
Lineage: Eukaryota; Metazoa; Nemertea; Pilidiophora; Heteronemertea; Lineidae
Exons: 4
Source: RefSeq, a predicted model, not a curated record
UGCAGACUCUGUUCCGUCAGAAAGUUUAUUCGACCUGGGUAUAAAUAGCCCGGUGUUAAUAAAUGUUCAGUGGGACAGAGAGGAACAUACUUCGCCAAUAGCUUCAUCCUCUUCAUCAACUGGGAACCAGCCUGAGGCCAGCACUCGACGUCGAAGUGUGACAAACCCUCCAGCAUCAACCGCUGUGGUUGAUCAAUCUGUCUUGGGGACCAACAUUGAUGAUGAUACUUUGCCAGAAAUCCUGCCUGUUACUGCAGCUGCAAUGCUAGACUUUGAU